CGGUCGCGCCUGAAAGGGUGAGGAAAGUCCGGACUCCGCAGGGCGGAGGACCUGGCCGUCAAGGCCAGGAGGGCGGUGGCAAACGCCGCCGAUGGAAAGCGCAGCAGAGAGCAGACAGCCCCGCAAGGGGUGAUGGUGAAAGGGUGGGGCAAGAGCCCACCGGCGCGGCUGAAACGCCGUGCGCAAGGCAAGCCCUCCUCGGAGCAAGAUCAAAUAGGGGGCUGAACGGGCGGCCCGUCCGGUUCUCGUCCGCAAGGAUGAGGUGAAGUCCCGGGUUGAUUGCUCAGAUGAAUGACCGGAGUUCCCCUCGGGGAAUGAACAGAAUCCGGCUUAUUCGCCG
Molecule: RNase P RNA, 340 nt
Filed under: human gut metagenome
Description: Bacterial RNase P class A
Rfam family: Bacterial RNase P class A
About the family: Ribonuclease P (RNase P) is a ubiquitous endoribonuclease, found in archaea, bacteria and eukarya as well as chloroplasts and mitochondria.
Source: RNAcentral